UCGGGAAUUUUGGGCAAUGGGCGAAAGCCUGACCCAGCAACGCCGCGUGAGGGAUGAAGUAUUUCGGUAUGUAAACCUCGAAAGAAUGGGAAGAAUAAAUGACGGUACCAUUUAUAAGCUCCGGCUAACUACGUGCCAGCAGCCGCGGUAAUACGUAGGGAGCAAGCGUUGUUCGGGUUUACUGGGCGUAAAGGGCGCGUAGGCGGCGCGGUAAGUCACUUGUGAAAUCUCUGAGCUUAACUCAGAACGGCCAAGUGAUACUGCUGUGCUAGAGGGCGGAAGAGGCAACCGGAAUUCUUGGUGUAGCGGUGAAAUGCGUAGAUAUCAAGAGGAACACCUGAGGCGAAGGCGGGUUGCUGGGCCGACACUGACGCUGAUGCGCGAAAGCCAGGGGAGCAAACG
This 402-nucleotide ribosomal RNA is filed under the name uncultured bacterium. RNAcentral describes it as "bacterial SSU rRNA". It matches the Rfam family "Bacterial small subunit ribosomal RNA", at positions 355 to 774 of the family's 1533-position model. The record is from RNAcentral.